This 385-nucleotide ribosomal RNA is filed under the name uncultured bacterium. Its description in RNAcentral is "bacterial SSU rRNA". It matches the Rfam family "Bacterial small subunit ribosomal RNA", at positions 28 to 414 of the family's 1533-position model. The record is from RNAcentral.
GACGAACGCUGGCGGCGUGCUUAACACAUGCAAGUCGAGCGGUAAGGCCCGUUUCGGGGGUACACGAGCGGCGAACGGGUGAGUAACACGUGGGUGACCUGCCCUCAGCUCUGGGAUAAGCCUGGGAAACUGGGUCUAAUACUGGAUAUGACUCCACGGUGCAUGUCGUGGGGUGGAAAGCCUUGUGCGGCUGAGGAUGGGCCCGCGGCCUAUCAGCUUGUUGGUGGGGGAUGGCCUACCAAGGCGACGACGGGUAGCCGGCCUGAGAGGGCGACCGGCCACACUGGGACUGAGACACGGCCCAGACUCCUACGGGAGGCAGCAGUGGGGAAUCUUGCGCAAUGGGACGAAAGCCUGACGCAGCGACGCCGCGUGAGGAUGACGG